This 468-nucleotide ribosomal RNA is filed under the name uncultured bacterium. RNAcentral describes it as "partial 16S ribosomal RNA". It matches the Rfam family "Bacterial small subunit ribosomal RNA", at positions 28 to 507 of the family's 1533-position model. The record is from RNAcentral.
GACGAACGCUGGCGGCGUGCUUAACACAUGCAAGUCGAACGGAAAGUCCCUGCUUUUGUGGGGUGCUCGAGUGGCGAACGGGUGAGUAACACGUGAGUACCCUGCCCCUGACUUUGGGAUAACUUCAUGAAACUGGGGCUAAUACCGGAUAGGAGCUCCUGCUGCUUGGUGGGGGUUGGAAAGUUUCGGCGGUUGGGGAUGGACUCGCGGCUUAUCAGCUUGUUGGUGGGGUAGUGGCUUACCAAGGCAUGGACCGGUAGCCGGGCUGAGAGGAGAACCGGACAAGUUGCGAUUGAGAUGAGACACAGACUACAACGGGAGGCAGCAGUGGAGAAGAUUACACAAGAGGCGGAAGGCAAAUGCAACAACGCCGCGUGGGGGAUGACGGGCAGCGGGUAGGAAACCGCUUUCGCCUGUGACGGGGCGUGAGUGACGGUAAUGGGUAAAGAAGCACCGGCUAACUACGUG